AACGAACGCUGGCGGCAUGCCUAACACAUGCAAGUCGAACGAGACCUUCGGGUCUAGUGGCGCACGGGUGCGUAACGCGUGGGAACCUGCCCUUAGGUUCGGAAUACCUCCCCGAAAGGGGUGCUAAUGCCGGAUAAUGUCUUAGGACCAAAGAUUUAUCGCCUUUGGAUGGGCCCGCGUUGGAUUAGCUAGUUGGUAGGGUAAAAGCCUACCAAGGCGACGAUCCAUAGCUGGUCUGAGAGGCUGAUCAGCCACACUGGGACUAAGACACGGCCCAGACUCCUACGGGAGGCAGCAGUGGGUAAUAUUGGACAAUGGGCGAAAGCCUGAUCCAGCAAUGCCGCGUGAGUGAUGAAGGCCUUAGGGUUGUAAAGCUCUUUUACCCGGGAUGAUAAUGACAGUACCGGGAGAAUAAGCUCCGGCUAACUCCGUG
This 433-nucleotide ribosomal RNA is filed under the name uncultured bacterium. RNAcentral's name for it is "partial 16S ribosomal RNA". It matches the Rfam family "Bacterial small subunit ribosomal RNA", at positions 29 to 507 of the family's 1533-position model. The record is from RNAcentral.